RNAcentral lists this ribosomal RNA (546 nucleotides) under uncultured Glomeromycotina. Its description in RNAcentral is "SSU rRNA". It matches the Rfam family "Eukaryotic small subunit ribosomal RNA", at positions 548 to 1098 of the family's 1831-position model. Lineage: Eukaryota; Fungi; Glomeromycota. The record is from RNAcentral.
UUGGAGGGCAAGUCUGGUGCCAGCAGCCGCGGUAAUUCCAGCUCCAAUAGCGUAUAUUAAAGUUGUUGCAGUUAAAAAGCUCGUAGUUGAAUUUCGGGAUUAGUACGCUGGUCGUGCCUUCGGUACGUACUGGUGUUACCGAUUUCUACCUUCUGACGAACCAUCAUGUCAUUAAUUUGGUGUGGUGGGGAAUCAGGACUGUUACUUUGAAAAAAUUAGAGUGUUUAAAGCAGGCUCGCGCUUGAAUACAUUAGCAUGGAAUAAUGAAAUAGGACGUUGAUCCUAUUUUGUUGGUUUCUAGGAUUGACGUAAUGAUUAAUAGGGAUAGUUGGGGGCAUUAGUAUUCAAUUGUCAGAGGUGAAAUUCUUGGAUUUAUUGAAGACUAACUACUGCGAAAGCAUUUGCCAAGGAUGUUUUCAUUAAUCAAGAACAAAGAUUAGGGGAUCGAAGACGAUCAGAUACCGUCGUAGUCUUAACCAUAAACUAUGCCGACUAGGGAUCGGAUGAUGUUAUUUUUAAUGACUCAUUCGGCGCCUUACGGGAAAC